RNAcentral lists this ribosomal RNA (300 nucleotides) under uncultured Pseudomonadaceae bacterium. RNAcentral's name for it is "bacterial SSU rRNA". It matches the Rfam family "Bacterial small subunit ribosomal RNA", at positions 1084 to 1382 of the family's 1533-position model. The record is from RNAcentral. Lineage: Bacteria; Pseudomonadati; Pseudomonadota; Gammaproteobacteria; Pseudomonadales; Pseudomonadaceae.
GUCCCGUAACGAGCGCAACCCUUGUCCUUAGUUACCAGCACGUUAUGGUGGGCACUCUAAGGAGACUGCCGGUGACAACCGGAGGAAGGUGGGGAUGACGUCAAGUCAUCAUGGCCCUUACGGCCUGGGCUACACACGUGCUACAAUGGUCGGGUACAAAGGGUUGCCGAAGCCGCGAGGUGGAGCUAAUCCCAUAAAACCGAUCGUAGUCCGGAUCGCAGUCUGCAACUCGACUGCGUGAAGUCGGAAUCGCUAGUAAUCGUGAAUCAGAAUGUCACGGUGAAUACGUUCCCGGGCCUU